GGGUUGUGAGGUUAAGCGAAUAAGCGUACACGGUGGAUGCCUAGGCAGUCAGAGGCGAUGAAGGACGUGCUAAUCUGCGAUAAGCGCCGGUAAGGUGAUAUGAACCGUUAUAACCGGCGAUUUCCGAAUGGGGAAACCCAGUGUGAUUCGUCACACUAUCAUUACCUGAAUACAUAGGGUAAUGAAGCGAACCGGGAGAACUGAAACAUCUAAGUACCCCGAGGAAAAGAAAUCAAACGAGAUUCCCCCAGUAGCGGCGAGCGAACGGGGAGCAGCCCAGAACCUUAAUCACUAUCAGCAUCAGGAGAACAGUCUGGAAAGGCUGGCCGCAGCAGGUGAUAGCCCUGUAUCCGAAGGUGCUGGUAGUGUGAGUUCGAUGAGUAAGGCGGGACACGUGUUAUCCUGUCUGAAUAUGGGGGGACCAUCCUCCAAGGCUAAAUACUCCUGACUGACCGAUAGUGAACCAGUACCGUGAGGGAAAGGCGAAAAGAACCCCGGCGAGGGGAGUGAAAAAGAACCUGAAACCGUGUACGUACAAGCAGUGGGAGCACNNNNNNNNNNNNNNNNNNNNNNNNNNNNNNNNNNNNNNNNNNNNNNNNNNNNNNNNNNNNNNNNNNNNNNNNNNNNUUAGUUGCAGGGUAUAGACCCGAAACCCGGUGAUCUAGCCAUGGGCAGGUUGAAGGUUGGGUAACACUAACUGGAGGACCGAACCGACUAAUGUUGAAAAAUUAGCGGAUGACUUGUGGCUGGGGGUGAAAGGCCAAUCAAACCGGGAGAUAGCUGGUUCUCCCCGAAAGCUAUUUAGGUAGCGCCUCGUGAAUUCAUCUCCGGGGGUAGAGCACUGUUUCGGCUAGGGGGUCAUCCCGACUUACCAACCCGAUGCAAACUGCGAAUACCGGAGAAUGUUAUCACGGGAGACACACGGCGGGUGCUAACGUUCGUCGUGAAGAGGGAAACAACCCAGACCGCCGGCUAAGGUCCCAAAGUCAUAAUUAAGUGGGAAACGAAGUGGGAAGGCUCAGACAGCCAGGAUGUUGGCUUAGAAGCAGCCAUCAUUUAAAGAAAGCGUAAUAGCUCACUGGUCGAGUCGGCCUGCGCGGAAGAUGUAACGGGGCUAAAUUAUGCACCGAAGCCGCGGCAGCGAUAUGUAAAUAUUGUUGGGUAGGGGAGCGUUCUGUAAGCCUGUGAAGGUGACCUGUGAGGGUUGCUGGAGGUAUCAGAAGUGCGAAUGCUGACAUAAGUAACGAUAAUGCGGGUGAAAAACCCGCACGCCGGAAGACCAAGGGUUCCUGUCCAACGUUAAUCGGGGCAGGGUGAGUCGACCCCUAAGGCGAGGCUGAAAAGCGUAGUCGAUGGGCAACGGGUUAAUAUUCCCGUACUGGUGGUAACUGCGAAGGGGGGACGGAGAAAGCUAAAUCAUCCGGGCGACGGUUGUCCCGGUUUAAGCGUGCAGGUGGACUGACCAGGCAAAUCCGGUCGGUUGUUAACACUGAGGCGUGACGACGAGCCACUACGGUGGUGAAGUGAUUGAUGCUCUGCUUCCGGGAAAAGCCUCUAAGCUCCAGGUNNNNNNNNNNNNNNNNNNNNNNNNNNNNNNNNNNNNNNNNNNNNNNNNNNNNNNNNNNNNNNCAUGGAGCUGAAGCCAGCCGCAGAUACCAGCUGGCUGCAACUGUUUAUUAAAAACACAGCACUGUGCAAACACGAAAGUGGACGUAUACGGUGUGACGCCUGCCCGGUGCCGGAAGGUUAAUUGAUGAGGUCAGCCGCAAGGCGAAGCUUCUGAUCGAAGCCCCGGUAAACGGCGGCCGUAACUAUAACGGUCCUAAGGUAGCGAAAUUCCUUGUCGGGUAAGUUCCGACCUGCACGAAUGGCGUAAUGAUGGCCAGGCUGUCUCCACCCGAGACUCAGUGAAAUUGAACUCGCUGUGAAGAUGCAGUGUACCCGCGGCAAGACGGAAAGACCCCGUGAACCUUUACUAUAGCUUGACACUGAACAUUGAGCCUUGAUGUGUAGGAUAGGUGGGAGGCAAUGAAGUGUGGACGCCAGUCUGCACGGAGCCAUCCUUGAAAUACCACCCUUUAACGUUUGAUGUUCUAACCCGGGUCCAUAAUCUGGAUCGGGGACCGUGUCUGGUGGGUAGUUUGACUGGGGCGGUCUCCUCCCAAAGAGUAACGGAGGAGCACGAAGGUUGGCUAAGCAUGGUCGGACAUCAUGCGGUUAGUGCAAAGGCAUAAGCCAGCUUGACUGCGAGAGUGACGGCUCGAGCAGGUACGAAAGUAGGUCUUAGUGAUCCGGUGGUUCUGAAUGGAAGGGCCAUCGCUCAACGGAUAAAAGGUACUCCGGGGAUAACAGGCUGAUACCGCCCAAGAGUUCAUAUCGACGGCGGUGUUUGGCACCUCGAUGUCGGCUCAUCACAUCCUGGGGCUGAAGUAGGUCCCAAGGGUAUGGCUGUUCGCCAUUUAAAGUGGUACGCGAGCUGGGUUUAGAACGUCGUGAGACAGUUCGGUCCCUAUCUGCCGUGGGCGCUGGAAGAUUGAGAGGGGUUGCUCCUAGUACGAGAGGACCGGAGUGAACGCACCACUGGUGUACGGGUUGUGAUGCCAAUUGCAUUGCCCGGUAGCUAAGUGCGGAAGAGAUAACCGCUGAAAGCAUCUAAGCGGGAAACUUGCCUCGAGAUGAGUCUUCCCUGACCCUUUAAGGGUCCUGAAGGAACGUUUGAGACUAAGACGUUGAUAGGCUGGGUGUGUAAGCGCAGCGAUGCGUUGAGCUGACCAGUACUAAUGAACCGUGAGGCUUAACCUGACAACACCGAAGGUGUUU
Molecule: ribosomal RNA, 2820 nt
Filed under: Morganella morganii
Lineage: Bacteria; Pseudomonadati; Pseudomonadota; Gammaproteobacteria; Enterobacterales; Morganellaceae
Description: 23S ribosomal RNA
Rfam family: Bacterial large subunit ribosomal RNA
Source: RNAcentral